This 380-nucleotide ribosomal RNA is filed under the name Pristimantis koehleri. RNAcentral's name for it is "partial 12S ribosomal RNA". It matches the Rfam family "Bacterial small subunit ribosomal RNA", at positions 794 to 1385 of the family's 1533-position model. The record is from RNAcentral. Lineage: Eukaryota; Metazoa; Chordata; Amphibia; Anura; Strabomantidae.
GUCUAGCCGUAAACUUUAACUUACCACCACCAUUCGCCAGGGAAUUACGAGCUAAGCUUAAAACCCAAAGGACUUGACGGUGCCCCAUAUCCCCCUAGAGGAGCCUGUCCUAUAAUCGAUAAUCCACGUUAAACCCAACCAUUUUUAGUUUUUCAACCUGUAUACUUCCGUCCCCAGCUCACCGCAUGAGUGAAACAUAGUGAGCCUAAUGACUCCCCCGCCAACACGUCAGGUCAAAGUGCAGUUAAUAAAAUGGACAGAGAUGGGCUACACUUUCUACCUUAGAAAACACGAAAGAUCGCAUGAAACACGAUCUGAAGGCGGAUUUAGUAGUAAAAAGAAAUUAGAACAUUCUAUUUAACCCGGCACUGGGGUGUGUA